Non-coding RNA from Aedes aegypti (yellow fever mosquito), 116 nucleotides. NCBI's taxonomy places the organism in Eukaryota, Metazoa, Arthropoda, Insecta, Diptera, Culicidae. The record is from Rfam.
UACACAACAACUCCAAUCCCGUCUUCCUCGUGGUUCUGGCCGGGGUAGGAGUAAUCUAAGGGAAGAUCGUGUAACCAACCCCGGUGGGAGCUUUAGUCGUAUGCUAACAGGGAAGG